This 253-nucleotide ribosomal RNA is filed under the name uncultured bacterium. Its description in RNAcentral is "partial 16S ribosomal RNA". It matches the Rfam family "Bacterial small subunit ribosomal RNA", at positions 524 to 776 of the family's 1533-position model. The record is from RNAcentral.
UACGGGGGGGGCAAGCGUUGUUCGGAAUUACUGGGCGUAAAGGGCUCGUAGGUGGCCAACUAAGUCAGACGUGAAAUCCCCAGGCUCAACUUGGGAACUGCGUCUGAUACUGGAUGGCUUGAAUUCGGGAGAGGGAUGCAGAAUUCCAGGUGUAGCGGUGAAAUGCGUAGAUAUCUGGAGGAACACCGGUGGCGAAGGCGGCAUCCUGGACCGAUACUGACGCUGAGGAGCGAAAGCCAGGGGAGCAAACGGG